Non-coding RNA from Camelina sativa (false flax), 1166 nucleotides. The record is from RefSeq and is a predicted model, not a curated record. Lineage: Eukaryota; Viridiplantae; Streptophyta; Magnoliopsida; Brassicales; Brassicaceae.
CAUAUCUUUCUCUCCUCAACGCUCUCAUUAAAAAAAGUACUCGUGUCUUACUUGUGCCAGCCACUCGCUUUUUCUCAGAUUUUUUUAUUAUCCUUUCCUCGGCAAAAAAAAGAUUUUAGCUAAGAUGGUGAAGAACUACCCAACCGUGAGCGAAGAUUAUCUCAAGGCUAUUGAGAAGUGCAGGAGAAAGCUUAGAGGCAUGAUCGCUGAGAAGAACUGUGCACCCAUCAUGGUCCGACUCGCAUGGCACUCUGCUGGAACAUUCGAUUGCGCCUCAAGGACUGGUGGUCCCUUUGGAACAAUGAGGUUUGAUGCUGAGCAAGCUCACGGAGCCAACAGUGGUAUCCACGUUGCUCUUAGGUUUUUGGAACCCAUCAGGGAGCAAUUCCCUACCAUCUCUUUUGCUGACUUCCAUCAGCUUGCUGGUGUUGUGGGCAUUGAAGUUACUGGUGGCCCUGAUAUUCCUUUCCACCCUGGAAGAGAGGACAAGCCCCAGCCACCUCCAGAGGGUCGUCUUCCUGAUGCUACAAAGGGUUGUGAGCACUUGAGAGAUGUCUUUAGCAAGCAGAUGGGCUUAUCUGACAAGGACAUUGUUGCUUUGUCUGGUGCCCACACUCUGGGAAGAUGCCACAAGGAUAGGUCUGGCUUCGAAGGUGCCUGGACUUCAAACCCUCUAAUUUUCGACAACUCUUACUUCAAGGAACUCUUGAGCGGAGAGAAGGAAGGCCUGCUUCAACUUGUCUCUGACAAGGCGCUGUUGGACGAUCCUGUUUUCCGUCCUUUAGUCGAGAAAUACGCUGCUGUAUGCAUUCUUUCUCUUUUCUAUGUUCUUCACUUGGUAGAGAUAAAGAGAACUCAUGGUUUCUUGUGACAAUGGGAACAGGAUGAAGAAGCCUUUUUCGCUGAUUACGCUGAGGCCCACUUGAAGCUUUCAGAGCUUGGGUUUGCUGAUGCUUAAGCUGUGACUUAUGUGUGUUUGUGUCUCUGAGACUCAUGGCUGUUUUUGGUUGGGGGCCGGAGGGGUCGCAUUGCAUUUGAACUUUGUCAUAUGAUUGCUUAAAUGUACUCUCGGAUUUGCGUUAUCUUGUUUUUCGGUGGGUUGUGAUUUGACACAUCCGUUGCGCUUUUGCUGGUUAGACAUUUUAAUAAAAUUAAUUUCUCGCAUA